GAUGAACGCUGGCGGCGUGCCUAAUACAUGCAAGUCGAGCGAACAGAUGAGGAGCUUGCUCCUCUGACGUUAGCGGCGGACGGGUGAGUAACACGUGGAUAACCUACCUAUAAGACUGGGAUAACUUCGGGAAACCGGAGCUAAUACCGGAUAAUAUAUUGAACCGCAUGGUUCAAUAGUGAAAGACGGUUUUGCUGUAACUUAUAGAUGGAUCCGCGCCGCAUUAGCUAGUUGGUAAGGUAACGGCUUACCAAGGCAACGAUGCGUAGCCGACCUGAGAGGGUGAUCGGCCACACUGGAACUGAGACACCGACCAGACUCCUACGGGAGGCAGCAGUAGGGAAUCUUCCGCAAUGGGCGAAAGCCUGACGGAGCAACGCCGCGUGAGUGAUGAAGGUCUUCGGAUCGUAAAACUCUGUUAUUAGGGAAGAACAAAUGUGUAAGUAACUAUGCACGUCUUGACGGUACCUAAUCAGAAAGCCACGGCUAACUACGUG
RNAcentral lists this ribosomal RNA (497 nucleotides) under uncultured bacterium. RNAcentral describes it as "partial 16S ribosomal RNA". It matches the Rfam family "Bacterial small subunit ribosomal RNA", at positions 28 to 507 of the family's 1533-position model. The record is from RNAcentral.